Molecule: ribosomal RNA, 541 nt
Filed under: Coniothyrium aleuritis
Lineage: Eukaryota; Fungi; Ascomycota; Dothideomycetes; Pleosporales; Coniothyriaceae
Also listed under: 7 other names
Description: eukaryotic LSU rRNA
Rfam family: 5.8S ribosomal RNA (bases 171-324)
Source: RNAcentral
UCCGUAGGUGAACCUGCGGAAGGAUCAUUACCUAGAGUUGUAGGCUUUGCCUGCUAUCUCUUACCCAUGUCUUUUGAGUACCUUACGUUUCCUCGGCGGGUCCGCCCGCCGAUUGGACAAUUUAAACCAUUUGCAGUUGCAAUCAGCGUCUGAAAAAACUUAAUAGUUACAACUUUCAACAACGGAUCUCUUGGUUCUGGCAUCGAUGAAGAACGCAGCGAAAUGCGAUAAGUAGUGUGAAUUGCAGAAUUCAGUGAAUCAUCGAAUCUUUGAACGCACAUUGCGCCCCUUGGUAUUCCAUGGGGCAUGCCUGUUCGAGCGUCAUUUGUACCUUCAAGCUCUGCUUGGUGUUGGGUGUUUGUCUCGCCUCUGCGUGUAGACUCGCCUCAAAACAAUUGGCAGCCGGCGUAUUGAUUUCGGAGCGCAGUACAUCUCGCGCUUUGCACUCAUAACGACGACGUCCAAAAGUACAUUUUUACACUCUUGACCUCGGAUCAGGUAGGGAUACCCGCUGAACUUAAGCAUAUCAAUAAGCGGAGGA